GAUGAACGCUGGCGGCGUGCCUAAUACAUGCAAGUCGAGCGAAUGGAUUAAGAGCUUGCUCUUAUGAAGUUAGCGGCGGACGGGUGAGUAACACGUGGGUAACCUGCCCAUAAGACUGGGAUAACUCCGGGAAACCGGGGCUAAUACCGGAUAACAUUUUGAACCGCAUGGUUCGAAAUUGAAAGGCGGCUUCGGCUGUCACUUAUCGAUGGACCCGCGUCGCAUUAGCUAGUGGGUGAGGUAACGGCUCACCAAGGCAAAGAUGCGUAGCCGACCUGAGAGGGUGAUCGGCCACACUGGGACUGAGACACGGCCCAGACUCCUACGGGAGGCAGCAGUAGGGAAUCUUCCGCAAUGGACGAAAGUCUGACGGAGCAACGCCGCGUGAGUGAUGAAGGCUUUCGGGUCGUAAAACUCUGUUGUUAGGGAAGAACAAGUGCUAGUUGAAUAAGCUGGCACCUUGACGGUACCUAACCAGAAAGCCACGGCUAACUACGUGCCAGCAGCCGCAGUAA
Molecule: ribosomal RNA, 515 nt
Filed under: uncultured bacterium
Lineage: Bacteria
Description: partial 16S ribosomal RNA
Rfam family: Bacterial small subunit ribosomal RNA
Source: RNAcentral